Molecule: non-coding RNA, 83 nt
Organism: Caerostris darwini
Lineage: Eukaryota; Metazoa; Arthropoda; Arachnida; Araneae; Araneidae
Source: the annotation of a GenBank genome assembly
UCUCGUUAGAUCCCCGAAGUCAAGCAUCAUUGGGCGCGGUCAGUACUUGGGUGGGUGACCACCUGGGAACACUGCGUGCCGUU